This 467-nucleotide ribosomal RNA is filed under the name uncultured Streptococcus sp. Its description in RNAcentral is "bacterial SSU rRNA". It matches the Rfam family "Bacterial small subunit ribosomal RNA", at positions 916 to 1381 of the family's 1533-position model. Lineage: Bacteria; Bacillati; Bacillota; Bacilli; Lactobacillales; Streptococcaceae. The record is from RNAcentral.
ACGGGGCCCGCACAAGCGGUGGAGCAUGUGGUUUAAUUCGAAGCAACGCGAAGAACCUUACCAGGUCUUGACAUCCCGAUGCUAUUUCUAGAGAUAGAAAGUUACUUCGGUACAUCGGUGACAGGUGGUGCAUGGUUGUCGUCAGCUCGUGUCGUGAGAUGUUGGGUUAAGUCCCGCGACGAGCGCAACCCCUAUUGUUAGUUGCCAUCAUUCAGUUGGGCACUCUAGCGAGACUGCCGGUAAUAAACCGGAGGAAGGUGGGGAUGACGUCAAAUCAUCAUGCCCCUUAUGACCUGGGCUACACACGUGCUACAAUGGUUGGUACAACGAGUUGCGAGUCGGUGACGGCGAGCUAAUCUCUUAAAGCCAAUCUCAGUUCGGAUUGUAGGCUGCAACUCGCCUACAUGAAGUCGGAAUCGCUAGUAAUCGCGGAUCAGCACGCCGCGGUGAAUACGUUCCCGGGCCUU